CUUCUUCUUCUUCUUCUUCUUCUUCAAUCAAUAUUUUUCUUUUGGAUCCUCGAUCUAUGAAAAUUUAGAAAUCUCAGCUAAACCUCACUUCCCUAGCGAAGAAUUCUCCUGCAGUCCUAUAAUCUGGAUCUUACACCUACAAUCCUUGCAAGAAGAACAAGGAUUCUACGAAAUGGACGCUCGGAAAAAAAUGUAAUUACAAA
Molecule: unclassified non-coding RNA, 203 nt
Filed under: Hevea brasiliensis (rubber tree)
Lineage: Eukaryota; Viridiplantae; Streptophyta; Magnoliopsida; Malpighiales; Euphorbiaceae
Source: RNAcentral